CGCACGGGUGAGUAACGCGUAUCCAACCUGCCGUCUACUCUUGGACAGCCUUCUGAAAGGAAGAUUAAUACAAGAUGGCAUCAUGAGUCCGCAUGUUCACAUGAUUAAAGGUAUUCCGGUAGACGAUGGGGAUGCGUUCCAUUAGAUAGUAGGCGGGGUAACGGCCCACCUAGUCUUCGAUGGAUAGGGGUUCUGAGAGGAAGGUCCCCCACAUUGGAACUGGGACACGGUCCAA
Molecule: ribosomal RNA, 235 nt
Filed under: uncultured bacterium
Lineage: Bacteria
Description: partial 16S ribosomal RNA
Rfam family: Bacterial small subunit ribosomal RNA
Source: RNAcentral